GCGGCGGGUGCUUAACAUGCAGUCGAACGGAAAGGCCCGCUUGCGGGUACUCGAGUGGCGAACGGGUGAGUAACACGUGGGUAACCUGCCCCCAUCUCUGGGAUAACCGUUGGAAACGGCGGCUAAUACCGGAUACGACCACUAGGUGCAUGCUUGGUGGUGGAAAGUUUUUGCGGUUGGGGAGGGGCCCGCGGCCUAUCAGCUUGUUGGUGCGGUAGUGGCGCACCAAGGCGAUGACGGGUAGCCGGCCUGAGAGGGCGGUCGGUCACAUUGGGACUGAGAUACGGCCCAGACUCCUACGGGAGGCAGCAGUGGGGAAUUUUGCACAAUGGGCGAAAGCCUGAUGAAGCGACGCCGCGUGAGGGAUGACGGCUUUCGGGUUGCAACUCCUUUUUCCCCCCGAAGGCGGUGUAUUCGCACCGUUGACGGAGUGGUGAAUAAGGUACGCCGGCUAACUACGUGCCAGCAGCCGCGGUAAGACGUAGGGCGCGAGCGUUGUCCGGAUUUAUUGGGCGUAAAGGGCUCGUAGGCGGUUGAUUGCGUCCGCCGUGAAAGGCCUCGGCUUAACCGGGGUUUUGCGGUGGAUACGGGUCGACUUGAGGCAAUUAGGGGAGAUCGGAAUUCUACGUGUAGCGGUGAAAUGCGUAGA
RNAcentral lists this ribosomal RNA (649 nucleotides) under Glycomyces sp. EK-I74. RNAcentral describes it as "bacterial SSU rRNA". It matches the Rfam family "Bacterial small subunit ribosomal RNA", at positions 39 to 694 of the family's 1533-position model. Lineage: Bacteria; Bacillati; Actinomycetota; Actinomycetes; Glycomycetales; Glycomycetaceae. The record is from RNAcentral.